GGGAAGAGCUCAAAUUUAUAAUCUGGCACCUUCGGUGUCCGAGUUGUAAUCUCUAGAAGUGUUUUCCGCGUUGGACCGCACACAAGUCUGUUGGAAUACAGCGGCAUAGUGGUGAAACCCCCCUAUAUCGUGCGGACGCCCCCCGCUUUGUGAUACACUUUCAAUGAGUCUAGUUGUUUGGGAAUGCACCUCAUAUUGGGUGGUAAAUUCCAUCUAAAGCUAAAUAUUGGCGAGAGACCGAUAGCGAACAAGUACCGUGAGGGAAAGAUGAAAAGCACUUUGGAAAAAGAGUUAACAAUACGUGAAAUUGUUGGAAGGGAAACGCUUGAAGUCAGACUUGCUUGCCGGAGCUUGCUUCGGUUUGCAGGCCAGCAUCAGUUUUCCGGGGUGGAUAAUGACGGUGUGAAGGUAGCAAUCUCGGCUGUGUUAUAGCUUUCCUUUGGAUACGCCCUGGGGGACUGAGGAACGCAGCGUGCUUUUUGCGAAAGACUCCUCUUUUUCACGCUUAGGAUGCUGGUGGAAUGGCUUUAAACGACCCGUCUUGAAACACGGACCA
Molecule: ribosomal RNA, 556 nt
Filed under: Rhodotorula diobovata
Lineage: Eukaryota; Fungi; Basidiomycota; Microbotryomycetes; Sporidiobolales; Sporidiobolaceae
Description: partial large subunit ribosomal RNA
Rfam family: Eukaryotic large subunit ribosomal RNA
Source: RNAcentral